RNAcentral lists this long non-coding RNA (1044 nucleotides) under Macaca mulatta (Rhesus monkey). Its description in RNAcentral is "lncRNA (ENSMMUG00000065337.1)". Lineage: Eukaryota; Metazoa; Chordata; Mammalia; Primates; Cercopithecidae. The record is from RNAcentral.
GUGCAGGGCUGAGGUGAAAGUUUAGAUGCUCUGAUGUGAUGAGUGAGCAGAACUGGUGAGGCUGAGAAACUGAAGCAGUGCACAACAGAAUGCUUUUGACAUCUUGCUACAAAAGAAGAGGAAAGUUCUGAAGUGUCCUGACUCAAAGGUCCUGAUCCAUGCUUUCUACUUCCACCAGGACAACCUGUUCCAGCAUGGAGGGUUCUGCUUUCAACAUUUCAAACACAAUAAUGAAGUUAAGAGUCACUGUUAUUAGCUUCCAAUGGCCUUGCGAAAUCUGCUUCUAUGACGGAGGUGAUGAUGGCCGACUUGGCAAGAAGCUGCGGGGUUAUGCUCAAACCUUCAAAAACAGACCAGGGCUGAGGCCAUAGACAGACGGCACAGGUACCAGCGUCCUUGAUUUUCCAGCUUCAAAGUGAACUGCCUCUGAAGUUGGGGGACAUUCACACCUGCUUUGCUGCAGUUGAUUUCUGCCUUCCUGGCUGCAGACUCAACAAGAAAAUACAUCUGUUGACAUUUUCAAGGCCAUAUUCAUAAACCAGGCAUGGGAAGUUUCUCUUCCACCUUUUCUUUCUAAGGGAAAAUAACAAGGUUUGUGUGUUCAGUGAGAAUUCAACAAUGAAUCCAAUUUAAUGUUUUUACCUUAAAUUCAGAUGCUUUACGAGUCAGGUACUCUAAAUCAUCACCACCACCACUCUUACUUUCUUUCCCUCCAAUUCUCACCUCCUCGCUAAAAGGACAAUCAGAGGACCAGGUCUAGUAAUCACUAGAAGUGUCAGUGUACAAUAUACCUGGAAUGGCUUUUUCCUUUAUUUUUCCUAUCUCGUUCAUCUCCAGAGAAGCUGUGCCAACAGUGGUUAAGAAGUGUAAGCACAGCUCUGCCUCUCAUAUGUUCCCUAAAGCACUUAGCUUCCUAUGAUACCUGGAGAGAGGGCCUUGUUUGUCUACUGGGUGCAAUGAAUAUGAUCUAAAAGUGGAAUUUCCCCCAGCUAAACACAUAUAUUUGCUGCCUCCCCGCCCCAACUUCUCACUGGUCAUCUGAAC